RNAcentral lists this ribosomal RNA (96 nucleotides) under Clostridia bacterium. Lineage: Bacteria; Bacillati; Bacillota; Clostridia. The record is from RNAcentral.
GGGGAAACACCCGUUCCCAUACCGAACACGAAGGUUAAGCCUAAGACGGCCGAUGGUACUGCAUUGGAGACGAUGUGGGAGAGCAGGUGGUUGCCG